RNAcentral lists this ribosomal RNA (814 nucleotides) under uncultured bacterium. RNAcentral's name for it is "bacterial SSU rRNA". It matches the Rfam family "Bacterial small subunit ribosomal RNA", at positions 8 to 796 of the family's 1533-position model. The record is from RNAcentral.
AGAGUUUGAUCCUGGCUCAGAAUGAACGCUGGCGGCGUGCUUAACACAUGCAAGUCGAACGAGAAAGGGAUUGCUUGCAAUCCCGAGUAGAGUGGCGCACGGGUGAGUAACACGUAGAUAAUCUGCCUUCAAGCCUGGGAUAACUAUUCGAAAGGGUAGCUAAUACCGGAUAAAGUCGAUCUACACAAGUAGAUUGAUGAAAGAUUGCCUCUUCUUGAAAGCAAUUGUUUGGAGAUGAGUUUGCGUACCAUUAGCUUGUUGGUGGGGUAAAGGCCUACCAAGGCAACGAUGGUUAGCUGGUCUGAGAGGAUGAUCAGCCACACUGGAACUGGAACACGGUCCAGACUCCUACGGGAGGCAGCAGUGAGGAAUUUUGCGCAAUGGGGGCAACCCUGACGCAGCAACGCCGCGUGAGUGAAGAAGGCCUUUGGGUUGUAAAGCUCUGUCAACAGGGAAGAAGUUACAAUUGUUUAAUAGAUGGUUGUAUUGACGGUACCUGUGGAGGAAGCGCCGGCUAACUCCGUGCCAGCAGCCGCGGUAAUACGGGGGGCGCAAGCGUUAUUCGGAAUUAUUGGGCGUAAAGGGCGCGCAGGCGGUCUUGUCCGUCAGGUGUGAAAGCUCGGGGCUCAACCCCGGAAGUGCACUUGAAACAGCAAGACUUGAAUACGGGAGAGGAAAGCGGAAUUCCUGGUGUAGAGGUGAAAUUCGUAGAUAUCAGGAGGAACACCGAUGGCGAAGGCAGCUUUCUGGACCGAUAUUGACGCUGAGGCGCGAAGGCGUGGGUAGCAAACGGGAUUAGAUACCCUGGUAGUCG